ACAGUUAUAAUUUAUUUGAUAAUCGAAAGUUACAUGGAUAACCGUGACAAAUUACAGCUAAUACAUGCAGUCAGACCUGGUCCAAGGGUCGUAAUUAUUAGUACCAAACCAAUUCCGCAAGGAAUGUGAUGAAUCAUAGUAAUCGAACGAAUCGCAGGUAUAUGCGAUAAAUCAUUCAAGUUUCUGCCCUAUCAGCUUUGGGUGGUAGUGUAUUGGACUACCAUGGCAGUCACGGGUAACGGAGAAUUAGGGUUCGAUUCCGGAGAGGGAGCCUGAGAAACGGCUACCACAUCUACGGAAGGCAGCAGGCGCGCAAAUUGCCCAAUCCCGACUCGGGGAGGCAGUGACAAGAAAUAACAACUCUAGGUUUUCUUAGAAGUGUAAUGAGGAUAAUUUACAAACCUUACCGAAUGCAAUU
This 418-nucleotide ribosomal RNA is filed under the name uncultured eukaryote. Its description in RNAcentral is "SSU rRNA". It matches the Rfam family "Eukaryotic small subunit ribosomal RNA", at positions 106 to 549 of the family's 1831-position model. The record is from RNAcentral.